UACAGAGGUGGCAAGCGUUGUUCGGAAUUACUGGGCGUAAAGGGCGCGUAGGCGGCCUUGUAAGUCCUGUGUGAAAUCCCCCGGCUCAACUGGGGAACUGCACAGGAGACUGCUUGGCUUGAGUUCGGGAGAGGGAAGCGGAAUUCCGGGUGUAGCGGUGAAAUGCGUAGAUAUUCGCAAGAACACCAGUGGCGAAGGCGGCUCACUGGCCCGUAACUGACGCUGAGGCACGAAAGCGUGGGGAGCAAACAGG
This 253-nucleotide ribosomal RNA is filed under the name uncultured bacterium. Its description in RNAcentral is "partial 16S ribosomal RNA". It matches the Rfam family "Bacterial small subunit ribosomal RNA", at positions 524 to 776 of the family's 1533-position model. The record is from RNAcentral.